Molecule: ribosomal RNA, 507 nt
Filed under: uncultured bacterium
Lineage: Bacteria
Description: partial 16S ribosomal RNA
Rfam family: Bacterial small subunit ribosomal RNA
Source: RNAcentral
GACGAACGCUGGCGGCGUGCCUAAUACAUGCAAGUCGAACGCAUUUUCUUUCACCGUAGCUUGCUACACCGAAAGAAAAUGAGUGGCGAACGGGUGAGUAACACGUGGGCAACCUGCCCAUCGGCGGGGGAUAACACUUGGAAACAGGUGCUAAUACCGCAUAAUUCCAUUUACCGCAUGGUAGAGGGAUGAAAGGCGCUUUUGCGUCACUGAUGGAUGGACCCGCGGUGCAUUAGCUAGUUGGUGGGGUAACGGCCUACCAAGGCUGCGAUGCAUAGCCGACCUGAGAGGGUGAUCGGCCACACUGGGACUGAGACACGGCCCAGACUCCUACGGGAGGCAGCAGUAGGGAAUCUUCGGCAAUGGACGCAAGUCUGACCGAGCAACGCCGCGUGAGUGAAGAAGGUUUUCGGAUCGUAAAACUCUGUUGUUAGAGAAGAACAAGGAUGAGAGUGGAAAGUUCAUCCCUUGACGGUAUCUAACCAGAAAGCCACGGCUAACUACGUG